ACCCUGACCGAGCAACGCCGCGUGAGUGAAGAAGGGUUCGGAUGCGUAAAGCUCUGUUGUAAGAGAAGAACGAGUGUGAGAGUGGAAAGUUCACACUGUGACGGUAACUUACCAGAAAGGGACGGCUAACUACGUGCCAGCAGCCGCGGUAAUACGUAGGUCCCGAGCGUUGUCCGGAUUUAUUGGGCGUAAAGCGAGCGCAGGCGGUUAGAUAAGUCUGAAGUUAAAGGCUGUGGCUUAACCAUAGUACGCUUUGGAAACUGUUUAACUUGAGUGCAGAAGGGGAGAGUGGAAUUCCAUGUGUAGCGGUGAAAUGCGUAGAUAUAUGGAGGAACACCGGUGGCGAAAGCGGCUCUCUGGUCUGUAACUGACGCUGAGGCUCGAAAGCGUGGGGAGCAAACAGGAUUAGAUACCCUGGUAGUCCACGCCGUAAACGAUGAGUGCUAGGUGUUGGGUCCUUUCCGGGACUCAGUGCUGCAGCUAACGCAUAAGUAUUCCGCCUGUGGA
This 507-nucleotide ribosomal RNA is filed under the name Streptococcus sinensis. Its description in RNAcentral is "bacterial SSU rRNA". It matches the Rfam family "Bacterial small subunit ribosomal RNA", at positions 380 to 879 of the family's 1533-position model. Lineage: Bacteria; Bacillati; Bacillota; Bacilli; Lactobacillales; Streptococcaceae. The record is from RNAcentral.